RNAcentral lists this ribosomal RNA (497 nucleotides) under uncultured bacterium. Its description in RNAcentral is "partial 16S ribosomal RNA". It matches the Rfam family "Bacterial small subunit ribosomal RNA", at positions 28 to 507 of the family's 1533-position model. The record is from RNAcentral.
GAUGAACGCUGGCGGCGUGCCUAAUACAUGCAAGUCGAGCGAACGGACGAGAAGCUUGCUUUUCUGAUGUUAGCGGCGGACGGGUGAGUAACACGUGGAUAACCUACCUAUAAGACUGGGAUAACUUCGGGAAACCGGAGCUAAUACCGGAUAAUAUUUUGAACCGCAUGGUUCAAAAGUGAAAGACGGUCUUGCUGUCACUUAUAGAUGGAUCCGCGCUGCAUUAGCUAGUUGGUAAGGUAACGGCUUACCAAGGCAACGAUGCAUAGCCGACCUGAGAGGGUGAUCGGCCACACUGGAACUGAGCCACGGUCCAGACUCCUACGGGAGGCAGCAGUAGGGAAUCUUCCGCAAUGGGCGAAAGCCUGACGGAGCAACGCCGCGUGAGUGAUGAAGGUCUUCGGAUCGUGAAACUCUGUUAUUAGGGAAGAACAUAUGUGUAAGUAACUGUGCACAUCUUGACGGUACCUAAUCAGAAAGCCACGGCUAACUACGUG